Solea senegalensis (Senegalese sole) is the source of this 403-nucleotide long non-coding RNA. RefSeq lists it as uncharacterized. NCBI's taxonomy places the organism in Eukaryota, Metazoa, Chordata, Actinopteri, Pleuronectiformes, Soleidae. The transcript is spliced from 3 exons. The record is from RefSeq and is a predicted model, not a curated record.
CCCUGGAAGACGCUUGGCUGUGGCCACCGGAGUGUCAUCUGGAUUCAAAGCAUACAUGAAAUAAGCUCGUUGCCAUUAGUGAUGAACUCAAGCGAGUCGGUCUCAUCUGGGGUCUCCAUGUCGUCCACGUUGAUGUCCAGGUCAUCGGGCGUUUCCAGGAAGUCGUCAGACAGCACUGAGCCCUCGCUCUGAUCCAGGGACAGGUUCAUGUCCGGGGCCACCAAGUUACUGCUUCUGUUGUCAGUGAGGCCACAUGAAGAAUCAACAUCGCCAUCUUCUGGUAGUGGCCUACAGAGAAAAUCAUCAAGAUACUACAUGAACAAAUACAAUAACAAUGGCAAAAAGUAGAAAGUAGAAAUGAACUGACAUAAAUAAAACAGUUUCUCUCCCCUUAUUUACUUCA